AUGUUCUUUUUGCUGUGGCUGUUGAAGAACAUCUCAGCCCCAGAUUUCCUCCCCACUGAGCUGUGCCUGUUCCAGGAGCAUCCCAGGGAACAGCUGGAUCCUGUGAGCUGUGCCUGUUCCCAGGAGCAUCCCAGGGAACAGCUGGAUCCUGUGAGCUGUGCCUGUUCCCAGGAGCAUCCCAGGGAACAGCUGGAUCCUGUGAGCUGUGCCUGUUCCCAGGAGCAUCCCAGGGAACAGCUGGAUCCUGUGAGCUGUGCCUGUUCCCAGGAGCAUCCCAGGGAACAGCUGGAUCCUGUGAGCUGUGCCUGUUCCCAGGAGCAUCCCAGGGAACAGCUGGAUCCUGUGAGCUGUGCCUGUUCCCAGGAGCAUCCCAGGGAACAGCUGGAUCCUGUGAGCUGUGCCUGUUCCCAGGAGCAUCCCAGGGAACAGCUGGAUCCUGUGAGCUGUGCCUGUUCCCAGGAGCAUCCCAGGGAACAGCUGGAUCCUGUGAGCUGUGCCUGUUCCCAGGAGCAUCCCAGGGAACAGCUGGAUCCUGUGAGCUGUGCCUGUUCCCAGGAGCAUCCCAGGGAACAGCUGGAUCCUGUGAGCUGUGCCUGUUCCCAGGAGCAUCCCAGGGAACAGCUGGAUCCUGUGAGCUGUGCCUGUUCCCAGGAGCAUCCCAGGGAACAGCUGGAUCCUGUGAGCUGUGCCUGUUCCCAGGAGCAUCCCAGGGAACAGCUGGAUCCUGUGAGCUGUGCCUGUUCCCAGGAGCAUCCCAGGGAACAGCUGGAUCCUGUGAGCUGUGCCUGUUCCCAGGAGCAUCCCAGGGAACAGCUGGAUCCUGUGAGCUGUGCCUGUUCCCAGGAGCAUCCCAGGGAACAGCUGGAUCCUGUGAGCUGUGCCUGUUCCCAGGAGCAUCCCAGGGAACAGCUGGAUCCUGUGAGCUGUGCCUGUUCCCAGGAGCAUCCCAGGGAACAGCUGGAUCCUGUGAGCUGUGCCUGUUCCCAGGAGCAUCCCAGGGAACAGCUGGAUCCUGUGAGCUGUGCCUGUUCCCAGGAGCAUCCCAGGGAACAGCUGGAUCCUGUGAGCUGUGCCUGUUCCCAGGAGCAUCCCAGGGAACAGCUGGAUCCUGUGAGCUGUGCCUGUUCCCAGGAGCAUCCCAGGGAACAGCUGGAUCCUGUGAGCUGUGCCUGUUCCCAGGAGCAUCCCAGGGAACAGCUGGAUCCUGUGAGCUGUGCCUGUUCCCAGGAGCAUCCCAGGGAACAGCUGGAUCCUGUGAGCUGUGCCUGUUCCCAGGAGCAUCCCAGGGAACAGCUGGAUCCUGUGAGCUGUGCCUGUUCCCAGGAGCAUCCCAGGGAACAGCUGGAUCCUGUGAGCUGUGCCUGUUCCCAGGAGCAUCCCAGGGAACAGCUGGAUCCUGUGAGCUGUGCCUGUUCCCAGGAGCAUCCCAGGGAACAGCUGGAUCCUGUGAGCUGUGCCUGUUCCCAGGAGCAUCCCAGGGAACAGCUGGAUCCUGUGAGCUGUGCCCAUCCCUGGAAUGCCUCCAGGGAAAUGCAGGGAGCAGAGCUGGGUGUUUGCCCCUCUGCUCUGCCAGGAGCUCCUGUCAGACACCAGGAUGGUUCUGGGGAGUGGGAUCCAGCAGGAUCCAGGGAUCCCCAUUCCAGGAUCCCAUGGGUGGGUUUGUGUUCCAGGUGUGCCUGGGCUGUUGAUCAGGUGUUGGUGCUGGUGCUGCUCCUGUGCAGAGCUGAGAUUCCUCCCUGCUCUGCCCCCAGGGAAUGGUUCCUGCUCUCAGCCACUCCAGGGAUUUCCAGCCCUGGAAUUACUGCGUGGUGUUCACUGCCCUUCUCCGGUUUCUGA
This 1836-nucleotide long non-coding RNA is filed under the name Ficedula albicollis (Collared flycatcher). Its description in RNAcentral is "lncRNA (ENSFALG00000023550.1)". The record is from RNAcentral. Lineage: Eukaryota; Metazoa; Chordata; Aves; Passeriformes; Muscicapidae.